RNAcentral lists this ribosomal RNA (301 nucleotides) under uncultured bacterium. Its description in RNAcentral is "partial 16S ribosomal RNA". It matches the Rfam family "Bacterial small subunit ribosomal RNA", at positions 509 to 807 of the family's 1533-position model. The record is from RNAcentral.
CAGUCGCCACGGUAAUACAGAGGGUGCAAGCGUUACUCGGAAUUACUGGGCGUAAAGCGUGCGUAGGUGGUGGUUUAAGUCCGUUGUGAAAGCCCUGGGCUCAACCUGGGAAUUGCAGUGGAUACUGGGUCACUAGAGUGUGGUAGAGGAUAGUGGAAUUUCCGGUGUAGCAGUGAAAUGCGUAGAGAUCGGAAGGAACAUCUGUGGCGAAGGCGACUAUCUGGGCCAACACUGACACUGAGGCACGAAAGCGUGGGGAGCAAACAGGAUUAGAUACCCGUGUAGUCCCUGUCUCUUAUAC